UACGGAGGGGGCUAGCGUUGUUCGGAAUUACUGGGCGUAAAGGGCGUGUAGGCGGCUUGUCGAGUCAGGCGUGAAAGCCCCGGGCUUAACCUGGGAACUGCGUUUGAUACUGGCAGGCUAGAGGUUGGGAGAGGAGAGUGGAAUUCCCAGUGUAGAGGUGAAAUUCGUAGAUAUUGGGAAGAACACCAGUGGCGAAGGCGGCUCUCUGGCCCACACCUGACGCUGAGGCGCGAAAGCGUGGGGAGCAAACAGG
This 253-nucleotide ribosomal RNA is filed under the name uncultured bacterium. Its description in RNAcentral is "partial 16S ribosomal RNA". It matches the Rfam family "Bacterial small subunit ribosomal RNA", at positions 524 to 776 of the family's 1533-position model. The record is from RNAcentral.